GAAACGCGAUAAGUCAUGUGAAUUGCAGAAUUCAGUGAAUCAUCGAAUCUUUGAACGCACAUGGCGCCUUCCAGUAUCCUGGGAGGCAUGCCUGUCCGAGCGUCGUUUCAACCCUCGAGCCCCCGUGGCCCGGCGUUGGGGAUCUGCCCAGGCAGGCCCCGAAAACCAGUGGCGGACCCGAUGCAGGCCCUUCCUUUGCGUAGUAAUACUGCCUCGCAUCGGGAGCCGGCGGGCUUCCAGCCUGUAAACCCCCAGCAAGUACGCCCCGGCAGCACCAAGGUUGACCUAGGAUCUGGUAAGAAUACCCGCUGAACUUAA
This 318-nucleotide unclassified non-coding RNA is filed under the name uncultured Hypocreales. RNAcentral describes it as "sequence contains ITS1". The stretch from base 1 to 105 matches the Rfam family "5.8S ribosomal RNA", at positions 50 to 154 of the family's 154-position model. Lineage: Eukaryota; Fungi; Ascomycota; Sordariomycetes; Hypocreales. The record is from RNAcentral.